This is a non-coding RNA of Epinephelus lanceolatus (giant grouper), 2247 nucleotides long. The record is from RefSeq and is a predicted model, not a curated record. Lineage: Eukaryota; Metazoa; Chordata; Actinopteri; Perciformes; Serranidae.
GAAGAGCACUGGUCUGUCCCACACACCACCCCAUCUCAUGUAAGCUUUUAUCAUCAUUAAAAUGUAACUGCAUUCACUGAUAUUUUGCACACACACAAGUCUGAUGAUGUCAGUCAUUAUUAUGUUACUUUAUAAUUGUAGCAUGUGUUAGCUAACGUGCUGCUGUUGCUACGUGACCUGUGAAGACAAGUUUACUGUUCCUCAGUGCAGUUCAGGUUUAAAGAUGUUGUUUUCUUAGCUAAGCAUAUUAUUAAUGUAUACCCAGAGGAAAUAAUUGGCUGCUGACCACAGUCUUUACUUUGUCUCAUCAGACAUAAACCUACAUUCUGAUGUGUUUCUCCUAAACAUCGUUAACCAUUUAAUAACUAAUGAGCAAACUCUUGGAUAAAAACAUUGUUUAGUCUUAAUUAGAUUAUUAGAUGAUUAAAAUCAUCACUGUGUCUUUAGAGGUUACCAUAAAACCAAAAUGUUCAAAUGAUGUCAAAUCAGAAUAAAUAAGUUAGACAGGAGUGCAGUCAGAGUUGAUGGAGGUAUGUAAGAUGAGGAAGGGUUGCUUCAACAAGAGGACUGCUGUCACCCUGAGAUAACCAUGUCUCAGUGAUACUGAAAUAAUCUCAGUUAUUCAAAGUAAUAAAAUCAUGGCAUAACAAAGAUUUAUUGUUUCAGGAUCUGAUAUUUAAAUGAGCAACAGACCAAAGUGAGAGAAAGAAGAACGGUUUAAAGUUUGACAGCAACAAUCUGAUUGGCUCACUGAGAUCUUGGCAACAUGUAGUUGGUUUAAGUCAAAGAGUGAACGCCCACAGUCAGCUGAUCAAGUUGGAAGAGACAGGAGGAGAAUUUGAGGGAGUAUUCCUGAAAUAAUUUCUGCUAAGCUUCAGUAAAAUCAACUUCCUUUUGUUACAGAUGAAAUGACAGUAAAUGUUUGGGCCUCUGCACCCUCAUAAUGAUCCCAUACGAUGGAUCAGGAUUAUUGUUUAAGUGAUAAGUGAUUACUCUAAAAGUCUGUGUUGAUAAAAGAGAGGAAUCAUUCAGUGGGAACAGAAUCAACUUUUACUGAACUUCUCUGAUGUCUACUCAGUAGUUUCUGUGUAUCCAUCAGUUGAUGUGUCUGGAUGUCUGAUCAUCUCAUUUCCCACCCUGGUGCUCUUUGUGUCUUGUUUACUAGGAUGACUAAAGGAAACAUCGAUUCCGUUGACUCUGGUGUGUCCUUGAAGAGUGAUUGGUCAAAAACUGGACUGAUUGAUUUCAAAGACAGAGUCUUUCUCAGCAGGUCGGACUUUUCUUCCUCAGAGAAGAAGCACGUCAGAUGAUAAAGGUUUGGUCGAGUCUUCAGACGACCUGGGACGAGAGACGAACCAGGAAGUGGGAUGGAAACAUCUUGAGGCUCCCGUCAGCAGCUGCUCCUGAUGGUCUCUUCAUAUCAUCGUGCCUGCUGAUGCUUCCUGCAUCACGACACAUUCACAAAUCAGUUUAAACACAUAUGUUUUUUAUCAUUAUCCUGAGUUUGUUGUAACCUGCUCUGCUUCAGGUUUUGUAAGCUCUAACAUGUCUGAGCCAUGUCAGUAUCAUAUACAGGUCAAGAUAACUAAUAUGAGGGUCAGCCAUGUUUUGCUAACUUCAGUGUACACCAGACUGAUGAUAUGAUAAAGAAGUGGUAGUUGGUGUUUGUCUGCAUUAAUUUAGAGACGUUAUACAAAUAUAAUAUAGAAUCAGAACUUGGUGGUGGAGUAGGUGUGUGAGGGAGGCGGGGGCCUGGUUGUGAAGUGCUUUGUGGGUGAGUAGGAGGAUUUUGAAUCGGAUAAAAUCAGAGGCUGGCGACGUUUCUGUCCAAGAUGACUCCAAGGUUGCGGCAGUGGGGGUGAGGAAAUUUUGACCAAUUAUGAGUAAGUCUGACUUGUCGAAGCUGAGUUUGAGGAGAUUUGUUUGCAUCCAGUGUCUGAUAUCAGAGAGACAGUUUGAGAGGGUGGAGUGGGUCUGAGAGGUGAUGGAUUUGGUGGAGAUGUAGAGCUGGAUGUCGUCAGCGUAACAGUGGAAAUGGAGGCCGUGACAACAGAUGAUCUGACCGAGGGGGAUAUUUAUUCUCUAAAUUAUAAUUCGUAAUAAGCCACGUAAGGUGGAAAACAACUUAAAGGGAUAGUGCACCCAAAAAUGAAAAUUCAGCCAUUAUCUACUCACUCAUAUGCCGAGGGAGGCUCAGGUGAAGUUUUAGAGUCCUCACAUCACUUGCAGGGAUCCAAGGGGAGAGGG